This 478-nucleotide ribosomal RNA is filed under the name uncultured bacterium. Its description in RNAcentral is "partial 16S ribosomal RNA". It matches the Rfam family "Bacterial small subunit ribosomal RNA", at positions 28 to 507 of the family's 1533-position model. The record is from RNAcentral.
GAUGAACGCUGGCGGCGUGCUUAACACAUGCAAGUCGAACGGGAAACCUUUUAUUGAAGCUUCGGCAGAUUUAGCUGGUUUCUAGUGGCGGACGGGUGAGUAACGCGUGGGUAACCUGCCUUAUACAGGGGGAUAACAACCAGAAAUGGUUGCUAAUACCGCAUAAGCGCACAGGACCGCAUGGUCCGGUGUGAAAAACUCCGGUGGUAUAAGAUGGACCCGCGUUGGAUUAGCUAGUUGGCAGGGUAACGGCCUACCAAGGCGACGAUCCAUAGCCGGCCUGAGAGGGUGAACGGCCACAUUGGGACUGAGACACGGCCCAGACUCCUACGGGAGGCAGCAGUGGGGAAUAUUGCACAAUGGGGGAAACCCUGAUGCAGCGACGCCGCGUGAAGGAAGAAGUAUCUCGGUAUGUAAACUUCUAUCAGCAGGGAAGAUAGUGACGGUACCUGAAUAAGAAGCCCCGGCUAACUACGUG